UCUCUCUACAUUCUCUCCAAAAACUCUCCUUCAAUCCCUGUUCUUGCAUCCAUUGGAGUUGGAAUUUCAAGAGUUUUCGAGGAAUCACAUCAAUCCUUGUUUCUACCGUUUGGUUUUAAUUUAAGAAGGGGAUUGUGUGUACGUGAGCACAAGGAACGAAGGUUGCUUUGAGUUGGGUAUUGUGUUGUUUAAGCAAACGAGGUUGAGCGGGAUGUUGAGUCGGCCUUGGAAAUUUUUGGAUGCGUUGUCUCUUCAUACAUAGGCGUCAUCCUUGACUCUCUUUGAAACCUUAUUUCCGCUGCUAUACUUUUUUAUCUAUGCCCCAAGAGUUCUUUACUUCGUACUAUUUUUGGCAUGUCAACUCCUUUUAGACGUUAGUCCGCUGUUUACUUCGUUACUCUAAAAUGGAUUUUCGUAAAGUAAAACAAUUGUUCUUUUGGAGGUUAAUUGGAAUUUGAUAUUUAUUUUUCCCCGCUGCUUCCUUUGAAAAAUCGUUUGCUAUAAGUCUUUGCACUAAUUGAUAAUGAAUUUAUGACAUUAAGUUUCUUUAAGCUAAAAACUCGUGUUUAACUUUUAAUGAACUAAAAUAUUAUUCUUUUAAACUAUUUGAGCCUUUCUUAUGAACUGUAGUCCUUAAAUGUUGUCUUUAUUGCUAUCCCGUGGUCACGAUCUCCUCGUUUAUAGUACCCCUAGUAUGGGCGGUCGUGACAGCUAUCUAACACAAUUAAACACUACUAAUAAUAUGGAUUUCACAUUCCAUUAACACUACUUCUCUCUUAUAUUUUUCCCUUCUCUCUUACUUCAACAAUUCCACAUUAAAACCCAUGCCAUUCACAAUGUGUUCUGUUUUUCGUGGACGAGGGGGUAUGUUUAUUGAAUAUUCAUCUCUUCCUAUAACUAAAAACUGAUAAGCUUGGUAUUUUAUUUUAUUUUUUUCAAUUUUCAUAUUCUAUUACUCUUUCUUUACUACUUAUAAUCAAUUAAGUUUUAUCUUACAAUUUUAGAUAUAAAUAUUUUAUAACUGAAUAUAAUUAGUGUUAUAGACUUUAAUAUAAUUAAGUUCUCGAAUUAAUUGAAAAUCAACUACAUAAAUACACCGAAAUAAAUACUCAAAAUUUACCUACUUCACGCCUCCUGCUUCAGCUAUCCCACCAACCUCGGGCAGCCGCCGCCGCCAACACCGGCAGUUCUCUCGGUCUGCCCCCGCCUGCCGCCCACUGCUUCUCUUUUUCUCCUUCAUCUCCUUUUCUUCUUCUCGCCAUUAUCUCAGAUCUCUCUCAGUAUCACGUCCCACUGCAUUCGGCGUCUGGACUUGCCGCCGUCACCCUCUGUUCCUUCAUGUCGGCGUCGCCCUUGUUCCCGGUAAGAUAUCUUUCUCUUAAUUUUGUUUUUGUUUUUUCAAAUUUGUAAAAAUAAACCCAAUGUUUUGGAGUUCAAAUUUUCAGAAACCGGUAAAUCGAAAGUUUCUACCUUUGUUCGUCGCCUGAGUGGCCGCCGGAUUCCGGCCAGAAUCGCCUCCAUGGAUGAAAUUUGUUGUAUGAAGUGUUAAAAGUGUAAAAAGAUCAAAUUGCCCAAUCCCCCCAAAAGGGUAUUUUCAAUCGAAAACAGUGAAAAAUAACCAUUUUCGAGAUAAACCCUUAGUCCAGGGAUGUCUGACAAUAUUUUUAAA
Long non-coding RNA from Salvia splendens (bonfire salvia), 1669 nucleotides. RefSeq lists it as uncharacterized. The transcript is spliced from 3 exons. The record is from RefSeq and is a predicted model, not a curated record. NCBI's taxonomy places the organism in Eukaryota, Viridiplantae, Streptophyta, Magnoliopsida, Lamiales, Lamiaceae.